This 524-nucleotide ribosomal RNA is filed under the name uncultured bacterium. Its description in RNAcentral is "bacterial SSU rRNA". It matches the Rfam family "Bacterial small subunit ribosomal RNA", at positions 355 to 896 of the family's 1533-position model. The record is from RNAcentral.
UGGGGAAUAUUGGACAAUGGGCGCAAGCCUGAUCCAGCAAUGCCGCGUGUGUGAAGAAGGUUUUCGGAUUGUAAAGCACUUUCGGCGGGGACGAUGAUGACGGUACCCGCAGAAGAAGCCCCGGCUAACUUCGUGCCAGCAGCCGCGGUAAUACGAAGGGGGCUAGCGUUGCUCGGAAUGACUGGGCGUAAAGGGCGCGUAGGCGGAAAUGACAGUCAGACGUGAAAUUCCUGGGCUCAACCUGGGGACUGCGUUUGAGACGUUGUAUCUAGAGUGAGGAAGAGGGUUGUGGAAUUCCCAGUGUAGAGGUGAAAUUCGUAGAUAUUGGGAAGAACACCGGUGGCGAAGGCGGCAACCUGGUCCUUUACUGACGCUGAGGCGCGAAAGCGUGGGGAGCAAACAGGAUUAGAUACCCUGGUAGUCCACGCUGUAAACGAUGUGUGCUGGAUGUUGGGUGACUUAGUCACUCAGUGUCGUAGCUAACGCGAUAAGCACACCGCCUGGGGAGUACGGCCGCAAGGUUG